AUCCAGCUGAUGAGUCCCAAAUAGGAUGAAACGAGUGUCCUGGAU
Non-coding RNA from Schistosoma rodhaini, 45 nucleotides. The record is from Rfam. Lineage: Eukaryota; Metazoa; Platyhelminthes; Trematoda; Strigeidida; Schistosomatidae.